RNAcentral lists this ribosomal RNA (256 nucleotides) under uncultured bacterium. RNAcentral describes it as "partial 16S ribosomal RNA". It matches the Rfam family "Bacterial small subunit ribosomal RNA", at positions 521 to 776 of the family's 1533-position model. The record is from RNAcentral.
UAAUACGAAGGGUGCUAGCGUUGUUCGGAAUUACUGGGCGUAAAGCGUACGUAGGCGGUUUGGUAAGUCGAUUGUGAAAGCCCUGGGCUCAACCCGGGAGCUGCAACCGAAACUGCCUUACUUGAAUUUGGUAGGGGAUGGCGGAAUUUCUAGUGUAGGGGUGAAAUCCGUAGAGAUUAGAAAGAACACCAGUGGCGAAGGCGGCCAUCUAUGCCAAUAUUGACGCUAAGGUACGAAAGCGUGGGGAGCAAACAGG